AUGAGGUGGUGGAUCGAGCCAACUGGAUUGUCAAUUUUUACCUCAGCCUUUAUUUAUUUUGUAUUUUCAUUUAACGACUUUUUAUUGCCGUCCUCUUGUAUCGAAUGUACAGUUUUUCGAUGUUACGCACGAUCGGUAGGCGUUCAUGCGGCAUUCGUGUUUCGUUAUGCGCGAUCGUCCGUGAGGCGCCCAACAGCCCCUCGUAUUAUUUUUUUAUUCAUUCACUCGCAAACCAAUGUGACGUCAGCCUUCAUUUGCUAUCCGUAUGAAAAGGGCCACAACACUUGCCUCGGAUUUGAGUUGUGUGGAUUGUUACAUUGAGUUUGUUUUUCGUCGUCUUCACUGGAGGAUUGGACCGAAUUUUGGAGAUUGAAAAUUUCAAUGAGUUCAAUCAAUGAUGAGACAACCGUGGGGAGAAGUUAAAGAUGAGAUAUGGGUGGUUUCAUUCACGGAAAUUCCCCUCACAAAUCUGUACGAAGCCGUGGGACGGAUGAGAGGAAAAUCGGAGGAAAGAGCUCUCACUGUUCUAAAUCAUGUGCGAUAUAGUAAUGGAGACAGCAGUCGUAUUUUCAUUGAUAACGAGUAUACAUCACGCUGCUCAACUUCUGACCUUUGUUUAUAACGUCUCGACAUAAAUGUCUAUGAAAACACGAUAAACUUUCGAGUUGAGGCGAAUCUACGCCAUAGAAUAGUAUAUCCAAAAUAUCUGAUUAAUUAUUUACAGUGACUUCUCAAUAUUUAAAAACACAGAGAAUUGGUUGUAAAAGUAGUAAAAAAUUGAUUUUAUUCAUUCGGAAAAUAUUGUGAUAUUAUUUUAGUUAUUGAAGCCCUGCAUUCAGGGAUUCUGUUAUCGCAAGUUACUGCAUUUUUUUUUCUCGUGAAGAAACAGAAACUUUAUUCAACAUAAUGUUAUAGUUUUUCCGUGUAACAAUAUUCAUUUAACUUCUACAUAUGGUAAUUAUAAUUUACUUGGAACUCGUAUGCCAAUUAAAAUGACCGAAUAGAAGUCUUUAUUUAAAUUUUCCCUCUUAUUUCAACCAACUAACAACUUGUUCCAAUGAAAAUUAUUUAAUGACACCAGAAACACAAUUUAUAGUUCAAUUGAGAUACAAAUGAAUUUUUGUCAAUUUGCCAGGAAAAUUCUAUUCGAAGAAUUUUUUUUAUUUCUGUCGGAUAAAUCAUUUGUUUAGGUGACUCAUGUUAAUUAUUAACUGAAUACCGAUAUGAUUGGCGGUUUGAAUAAAAUUUUAUUACCAAAAUCAAUAAUUUUUCAAUUAAAUGUCCCCAGAAUGUGUUCACCGUAUUUUAAUUUAUUUAUAAUUUUUAUUUAUGUACUCUGGUUUCAAUGUGUCAGCCGGAUGCCAUUCCAAAAGCUGCGGACCAUGUGAGGACGGAUAAAGAAUCUGAAAAAAGAAUUUGAAAAAAGAAGAAGAAACAUAGUAAUAGAAAUACAGUUCGACGUCCGCAAAGAGUGCUUGGAAUGUCCAGUGGGUAGGAGGUGUCGUACGGCGGACAUAAAUUUCUCUUUGUUUUGUCCACCCAGUAAAUUUUUCGGUGACAAAAAAUAAAAGGUAAGAGGAAAAAAUGGAGAGAAAAAUAAAUUAAAAGAAAUAAUAAAAAGGCUGGAAAAAUAAAUGGAGGUAGAACAAUUCGAUGCUGAAUUUUCGGGGUGGAUGGCGUGACAAGACGCGUUUGGAAUGUCGCUUUCACGACGCCUCGUUGACGCCUCAUCGUUUUUCACUCGUAAAAAAUUCACUCUUGCAUCUUGACUAUUGUAGGUGUUUCAAUGUCUGCCAUUUAUAUGCCUCAAUGCAUAUACCUCACACAUUUACGCCAAUCCAAUCAGAAGAACUAAAAAAUCUAUUGUAAUCUCUUUCUGCAACUUGAGCAAAUUGAAGAGUUAUUCCAAAUCAGUAGAUAGUUUAUUCAAUUAAAAUAAAGUAGUUAUUUGAGAUGAAUGAAUUUUUUUUUUACCUGAUUAAAUGGU
This is a long non-coding RNA of Fopius arisanus, 1987 nucleotides long. RefSeq lists it as uncharacterized. Lineage: Eukaryota; Metazoa; Arthropoda; Insecta; Hymenoptera; Braconidae. The record is from RefSeq and is a predicted model, not a curated record. The transcript is spliced from 3 exons.